CAGUAGCCGCGGGAAUACGUAGGGUGCAAGCGUUAAUCGGAAUUACUGGUCGUAAAGCGUGCGCAGGCGGUUAUAUAAGACAGAUGUGAAAUCCCCGGGCUCAACCUGGGAACUGCAUUUGUGACUGUAUAGCUAGAGUACGGCAGAGGGGGAUGGAAUUCCGCGUGUAGCAGUGAAAUGCGUAGAUAUGCGGAGGAACACCGAUGGCGAAGGCAAUCCCCUGGGCCUGUACUGACGCUCAUGCACGAAAGCGUGGGGAGCAAACAGGAUUAGAUACCCCGGCAGUCCAUGUCUCUUAUAA
This 301-nucleotide ribosomal RNA is filed under the name uncultured bacterium. Its description in RNAcentral is "partial 16S ribosomal RNA". It matches the Rfam family "Bacterial small subunit ribosomal RNA", at positions 509 to 809 of the family's 1533-position model. The record is from RNAcentral.